CAGCAUGCCCGCCCGCAGGUACACGGCAGCCGCCCUCCUGGCAGCUCUCGCGCUCGCCGCCGCCGCCGCCGCCGAAGACGGCAAUAAUGGAAUAUCCAAGUUGAAAAAGACCUCGAGCCUCUUCCCGCACCCACGUAUUGGUCGAUCCGAGUUCAUCAAUCAUGAAGCAGGGAACGGCGGACAGAAGCGGGCCGCGGGCCUCUUCCAGUUCCCCCGCGUCGGCCGCGCCUUCAUCGACGCGCCGCUGCCCUUCCCUCUGAGCGUGGUCGGCCCGCUGCGUCUGGCUCCGUCGAGCGACAAGGACGCUGACCCCGAAGCCGCCACCGUUGCAGAGCAGCCGUCGCCCUUUGAGGGCCACAAGCGCAAGGGCCUGGUGGCGAACGCUCGCGUCGGCCGGCGCGACGGCGCCGACACGCCG
Molecule: long non-coding RNA, 418 nt
Organism: Schistocerca nitens (vagrant locust)
Lineage: Eukaryota; Metazoa; Arthropoda; Insecta; Orthoptera; Acrididae
Exons: 4
Source: RefSeq, a predicted model, not a curated record